Molecule: long non-coding RNA, 524 nt
Organism: Salvelinus sp. IW2-2015
Lineage: Eukaryota; Metazoa; Chordata; Actinopteri; Salmoniformes; Salmonidae
Source: RefSeq, a predicted model, not a curated record
UGCACCUUGGUCUCCUUCUACUUCAUAGGAUGAGCGUUACAGAGCUAUUUGGCCAAAACUCUUUAUUUUGCCAUGGUUUACAUUCAGAACCUUCCACCAAUGUUUUGUCAAGGGUAAACUUGGAUCUAAAGGAAAACGAGCRCCUGCAGGGCCAAUGGGGCAAAGGGGUAUUCCAGGGCUUGGAGGAGAGAAGGGGACAUUUGGCCAGCAUGGCUCAAAGGGUCAGGCUGGGGGCAGAGGCCUACAGGGACAUAUUGGACCACGUGGAGUUAAAGUAUGCUGGAAUAAAGUUGGAAAUCAAUCAACAACACCUCACAAUUAGACAGCAGAUGACAUUGCUGUCUUUUAUUUAGGGGAAUGCAGGACUGCAAGGGAAUAAAGGGUGGCUAGAUCCAAAAGGCAUACAUGUUAUCUUGUGGAAUCUCUUUUCCAUAUGAGUUAAUGGAAUCAUAUCCUGAUACAUUUUGAUAACGGUAUCAGAACAAUAUUUCUUAUCAGUUUAUGUCAGUGCAUUGGUAGUUUAU